UUGAAGAGUUUGAUCAUGGCUCAGAUUGAACGCUGGCGGCAGGCCUAACACAUGCAAGUCGAGCGGUAGCACAGAGAGCUUGCUCUCGGGUGACGAGCGGCGGACGGGUGAGUAAUGUCUGGGAAACUGCCUGAUGGAGGGGGAUAACUACUGGAAACGGUAGCUAAUACCGCAUAAUGUCGCAAGACCAAAGUGGGGGACCUUCGGGCCUCAUGCCAUCAGAUGUGCCCAGAUGGGAUUAGCUAGUAGGUGGGGUAACGGCUCACCUAGGCGACGAUCCCUAGCUGGUCUGAGAGGAUGACCAGCCACACUGGAACUGAGACACGGUCCAGACUCCUACGGGAGGCAGCAGUGGGGAAUAUUGCACAAUGGGCGCAAGCCUGAUGCAGCCAUGCCGCGUGUGUGAAGAAGGCCUUCGGGUUGUAAAGCACUUUCAGCGGGGAGGAAGGCGUUAAGGUUAAUAACCUUGGCGAUUGACGUUACCCGCAGAAGAAGCACCGGCUAACUCCGUGCCAGCAGCCGCGGUAAUACGGAGGGUGCAAGCGUUAAUCGGAAUUACUGGGCGUAAAGCGCACGCAGGCGGUCUGUCAAGUCGGAUGUGAAAUCCCCGGGCUCAACCUGGGAACUGCAUUCGAAACUGGCAGGCUAGAGUCUUGUAGAGGGGGGGUAGAAUUCCAGGUGUAGCGGUGAAAUGCGUAGAGAUCUGGAGGAAUACCGGUGGCGAAGGCGGCCCCCUGGACAAAGACUGACGCUCAGGUGCGAAAGCGUGGGGAGCAAACAGGAUUAGAUACCCUGGUAGUCCACGCCGUAAACGAUGUCGAUUUGGAGGUUGUGCCCUUGAGGCGUGGCUUCCGGAGCUAACGCGUUAAAUCGACCGCCUGGGGAGUACGGCCGCAAGGUUAAAACUCAAAUGAAUUGACGGGGGCCCGCACAAGCGGUGGAGCAUGUGGUUUAAUUCGAUGCAACGCGAAGAACCUUACCUUGGUCUUGACAUCCACAGAACUUAGCAGAGAUGCUUUGGUGCCUUCGGGAACUGUGAGACAGGUGCUGCAUGGCUGUCGUCAGCUCGUGUUGUGAAAUGUUGGGUUAAGUCCCGCAACGAGCGCAACCCUUAUCCUUUGUUGCCAGCGGUCCGGCCGGGAACUCAAAGGAGACUGCCAGUGAUAAACUGGAGGAAGGUGGGGAUGACGUCAAGUCAUCAUGGCCCUUGACCAGGGCUACACACGUGCUACAAUGGCAUAUACAAAGAGAAGCGACCUCGCGAGAGCAAGCGGACCUCAUAAAGUAUGUCGUAGUCCGGAUUGGAGUCUGCAACUCGACUCCAUGAAGUCGGAAUCGCUAGUAAUCGUAGAUCAGAAUGCUACGGUGAAUACGUUCCCGGGCCUUGUACACACCGCCCGUCACACCAUGGGAGUGGGUUGCAAAAGAAGUAGGUAGCUUAACCUUCGGGAGGGCGCUUACCACUUUGUGAUUCAUGACUGGGGUGAAGUCGUAACAAGGUAACCGUAGGGGAACCUGCGGUUGGAUCACCUCCUU
This 1536-nucleotide ribosomal RNA is filed under the name Klebsiella pneumoniae. RNAcentral describes it as "bacterial SSU rRNA". It matches the Rfam family "Bacterial small subunit ribosomal RNA". Lineage: Bacteria; Pseudomonadati; Pseudomonadota; Gammaproteobacteria; Enterobacterales; Enterobacteriaceae. The record is from RNAcentral.